Molecule: long non-coding RNA, 72 nt
Filed under: Numida meleagris (helmeted guineafowl)
Lineage: Eukaryota; Metazoa; Chordata; Aves; Galliformes; Numididae
Description: lncRNA (ENSNMEG00000022123.1)
Source: RNAcentral
AGUCACCUCAGCUAGCUGCUGCUGCCCAGCUUGCAAACAGCCCUAAGGGAGGUUUGAUACAUCUUACUAGAA